RNAcentral lists this transfer RNA (66 nucleotides) under Marmota monax (woodchuck). RNAcentral describes it as "tRNA.Ala". The record is from RNAcentral. Lineage: Eukaryota; Metazoa; Chordata; Mammalia; Rodentia; Sciuridae.
GGUGCCGCGCAGUGGUAGAGUACUUACCUAGCAUGUGUGAGGCCCUGGGUUUGAUCCCCGGCACCA